Molecule: transfer RNA, 86 nt
Filed under: Codium fragile
Lineage: Eukaryota; Viridiplantae; Chlorophyta; Ulvophyceae; Bryopsidales; Codiaceae
Description: tRNA-Leu
Rfam family: tRNA
About the family: Transfer RNA (tRNA) molecules are approximately 80 nucleotides in length. Their secondary structure includes four short double-helical elements and three loops (D, anti-codon, and T loops).
Source: RNAcentral
GCUUUUGUGGCGAAAUAUGGUAUACGCGCCAAGUUUAGGCCUUGGAAUCUUUUAAAGAUGUGUGGGUUCGAAUCCCACCAAAAGCA